RNAcentral lists this transfer RNA (77 nucleotides) under Altererythrobacter sp. BO-6. Its description in RNAcentral is "tRNA-Ala". It matches the Rfam family "tRNA". Rfam says of the family: Transfer RNA (tRNA) molecules are approximately 80 nucleotides in length. Their secondary structure includes four short double-helical elements and three loops (D, anti-codon, and T loops). Further hydrogen bonds mediate the characteristic L-shaped molecular structure. tRNAs have two regions of fundamental functional importance: the anti-codon, which is responsible for specific mRNA codon recognition, and the 3' end, to which the tRNAs corresponding amino acid is attached (by aminoacyl-tRNA synthetases). tRNAs cope with the degeneracy of the genetic code in two manners: having more than one tRNA (with a specific anti-codon) for a particular amino acid; and 'wobble' base-pairing, i.e. permitting non-standard base-pairing at the 3rd anti-codon position. Lineage: Bacteria; Pseudomonadati; Pseudomonadota; Alphaproteobacteria; Sphingomonadales; Erythrobacteraceae. The record is from RNAcentral.
GGGGCCUUAGCUCAGCUGGGAGAGCACCUGCUUUGCAAGCAGGGGGGUCAUCGGUUCGAUCCCGAUAGGCUCCACCA